AGUUUGAUCCUGGCUCAGAUUGAACGCUGGCGGCAUGCCUUACACAUGCAAGUCGAACGGCAGCACGGGAGCUUGCUCCUGGUGGCGAGUGGCGAACGGGUGAGUAAUACAUCGGAACGUACCCUGAAGUGGGGAUAACGUAGCGAAAGUUACGCUAAUACCGCAUAUUCUGUGAGCAGGAAAGAGGGGGAUCGCAAGACCUCUUGCUUUAGGAGCGGCCGAUGUCGGAUUAGCUAGUUGGUGAGGUAAAGGCUCACCAAGGCGACGAUCCGUAGCGGGUCUGAGAGGAUGAUCCGCCACACUGGGACUGAGACACGGCCCAGACUCCUACGGGAGGCAGCAGUGGGGAAUUUUGGACAAUGGGCGCAAGCCUGAUCCAGCCAUGCCGCGUGAGUGAAGAAGGCCUUCGGGUUGUAAAGCUCUUUCGGUGGGGAAGAAAUUGCUUCGGUUAAUACCUGGAGUAGAUGACGGUACCCGCAUAAGAAGCACUGGCUAACUACGUG
RNAcentral lists this ribosomal RNA (503 nucleotides) under uncultured bacterium. RNAcentral describes it as "bacterial SSU rRNA". It matches the Rfam family "Bacterial small subunit ribosomal RNA", at positions 10 to 507 of the family's 1533-position model. The record is from RNAcentral.